RNAcentral lists this ribosomal RNA (254 nucleotides) under uncultured bacterium. RNAcentral describes it as "partial 16S ribosomal RNA". It matches the Rfam family "Bacterial small subunit ribosomal RNA", at positions 524 to 776 of the family's 1533-position model. The record is from RNAcentral.
UACGGGGGGGGCAAGCGUUGUUCGGAAUUACUGGGCGUAAAGGGCUCGUAGGCGGCCAACUAAGUCCGACGUGAAAUCCCCAGGCUUAACCUGGGAACUGCGUCGGAUACUGGAUGGCUUGAAUUCGGGAGAGGGAUGCAGAAUUCCAGGUGUAGCGGUGAAAUGCGUAGAUAUCGAGAGGAACACCUGCGGCGAAGGCGGGUUGCUGGGCUGACACUGACGCUGACAGCGCGAAAGCUAGGGGAGCGAACGGG